Ipomoea nil (Japanese morning glory) is the source of this 416-nucleotide long non-coding RNA. RefSeq lists it as uncharacterized. The record is from RefSeq and is a predicted model, not a curated record. The transcript is spliced from 3 exons. NCBI's taxonomy places the organism in Eukaryota, Viridiplantae, Streptophyta, Magnoliopsida, Solanales, Convolvulaceae.
CGCGUUCUAACUCCAUCCUCACCGCUCACAUCUCACAACCGUACCCUCACCUCACGGCCGGCAUCUCCGUAGGACACGGCAAUCACCUCACCGCAUCUCCGGCCUCGACUCCCGGCGAGGACACGGCGACGCCUGACCUCACCAUCGACUCCCUCAGCCGUCGCUAUAGUACGCGCGUUCUCCUCACUGCCACCGUCUCAUCAUCGAUUCACCGCCCCACGCCCUCAUCCGCCGUCUCCACCGCCACAGGGUCGCCGCCGCUCCUUCGAUCCACCGCUCCAGCCGCUGCUUCGUCCAUCAGGUGUAUGUAGACAACUAUGAGUAAUCAAUCUAUCAUUUAAUACAUUACACCUUAACUAUCAUUUGUUGGCUGCCUUCUUAUGCUUCUUCUUCUGCUUAAAAUGGAUGGAGAGUAC